Non-coding RNA from Benincasa hispida (wax gourd), 1149 nucleotides. Lineage: Eukaryota; Viridiplantae; Streptophyta; Magnoliopsida; Cucurbitales; Cucurbitaceae. The record is from RefSeq and is a predicted model, not a curated record.
CAUUUCCAUCAAUAACUCUUCAUUCCCUUCUCUUCUCUUUCUCUUCAUUUUCUUCAGCCAUGGCCAAGGACUCUGAUACCGGAGGCUUCGCCGCCAAGGACUACCACGACCCUCCACCGGCCCCUUUCAUCGACCCCAAUGAGUUCACUCAGUGGUCGUUUUACAGAGCCAUCAUCGCCGAGUUCAUCGCCACUCUCCUCUUCUUGUACGUCACUGUUCUCACUGUCAUUGGCUACAGUAGCCAGUCCGACAUUAAAAACGGCGGCCAAAUCUGCGGCGGUGUCGGCAUUCUCGGUAUCGCUUGGGCCUUCGGUGGAAUGAUCUUCGUUCUUGUCUACUGUACCGCUGGAAUUUCCGGUGGGCAUAUCAAUCCGGCGGUGACAUUUGGGCUGCUUUUGGCUCGGAAAGUGUCCUUUGUGAGAGCUGUUUUGUAUAUGGUUGCUCAAUGUCUUGGUGCCAUUUGUGGAUGUGCUUUGGUUAAAUCGUUUCAAAAGGGUCUUUACAAUCGCUACGGCGGUGGAGCAAAUUCUCUCGCCGACGGUUACAGCACCGGCACUGGCUUAGCCGCUGAGAUCAUCGGAACUUUCGUUCUUGUCUACACUGUCUUCUCUGCUACAGAUCCCAAGAGAAACGCUAGAGAUUCUCACGUUCCUGUUCUAGCUCCACUGCCAAUUGGGUUUGCUGUAUUUAUGGUUCAUCUAGCCACCAUUCCGGUCACCGGCACCGGCAUUAACCCGGCUCGAAGCUUUGGUGCUGCAGUUGUACUCAACCAGAGCAAGCCAUGGAAUGACCAUUGGAUUUUCUGGGUUGGACCUUUCGUUGGAGCUGCAAUUGCUGCAUUUUAUCAUCAAUUCAUAUUGAGAGCUGGAGCUGUUAAAGCAUUGGGAUCUUUCAGGAGUACUCAUAGUGUUUGAUGAUUUUGUUGAUGGGAAGAAAUGGCUUGGAUUUGGAUCUAAACGUUGACGGACAUGUCUGGAUGGGGAAUCAAGGAACAGGGGAAUUAGGGAUUUUCGUCUCAUUUGAAGCAGAAAUUUACAUCUCUUGAUAUACUUUUAACGGUGUAUUUUGUGGAAAUGCUUUAAAAUUUUAGAGACAAAAUUGUAAAUUUAUGAACUAAAUUUAUAAUAACGUAUUAUGUAUGAAACAAUA